RNAcentral lists this ribosomal RNA (274 nucleotides) under uncultured bacterium. RNAcentral describes it as "partial 16S ribosomal RNA". It matches the Rfam family "Bacterial small subunit ribosomal RNA", at positions 523 to 796 of the family's 1533-position model. The record is from RNAcentral.
CUACGAAGGGGGCUAGCGUUGUUCGGAAUUACUGGGCGUAAAGCGCGCGUAGGCGGAUUGGUCAGUUAGGGGUGAAAUCCCAGGGCUUAACCCUGGAACUGCCUCUAAUACUGCCAGUCUUGAGUUCGGGAGAGGUGAGUGGAAUUCCUAGUGUAGAGGUGAAAUUCGUAGAUAUUAGGAAGAACACCAGUGGCGAAGGCGGCUCACUGGCCCGAUACUGACGCUGAGGCGCGAAAGCGUGGGGAGCAAACAGAAUUAGAAACCCUAGUAGUCC